This 65-nucleotide transfer RNA is filed under the name Grapholita dimorpha. RNAcentral's name for it is "tRNA-Val". Lineage: Eukaryota; Metazoa; Arthropoda; Insecta; Lepidoptera; Tortricidae. The record is from RNAcentral.
CAAAUUAGAGCUUGAUAUAAGCAUUUCAUUUACAUUGAAAAGAUAAUAUAAUUUAUUUAAUUUGA